ACACCCUCAACCUUCUUGGUUUCUUGACUAGGAAGGCUUGGACUCUGGAGGUUUUCCUUGCUGGCCUCUUUUUGAAGCCAGCUCCUCCUAAAUGAAUUAGUGGGGUUCGCUUUGCCGAUCCUUGACGUGAUAAGUAUGCUUCUACGUCUUGGGUUUUGCACUGUCCCACUUCCAAUGGUCUUUGAAUGAAGACAAUGUAAGAGUUGCAUCGCGAUUCUUACUCAGCGA
RNAcentral lists this unclassified non-coding RNA (228 nucleotides) under uncultured Russula. RNAcentral describes it as "sequence contains ITS2". Lineage: Eukaryota; Fungi; Basidiomycota; Agaricomycetes; Russulales; Russulaceae. The record is from RNAcentral.